GGCUGGUCCAAAGGUAGUGAGUUAUCUCACUUGGUUGUUCAUAGUCAGUUACAGAUUGAACUCCUUGUUCUACUACUUUCCCCCCUCCUCACUACUGCAUUUGACUCGUCUAAA
RNAcentral lists this Y RNA (114 nucleotides) under Prolemur simus (greater bamboo lemur). RNAcentral's name for it is "Y RNA (ENSPSMG00000005833.1)". It matches the Rfam family "Y RNA". From Rfam's summary of the family: Y RNAs are components of the Ro ribonucleoprotein particle (Ro RNP), in association with Ro60 and La proteins. The Y RNAs and Ro60 and La proteins are well conserved, but the function of the Ro RNP is not known. The record is from Rfam by way of RNAcentral. Lineage: Eukaryota; Metazoa; Chordata; Mammalia; Primates; Lemuridae.